RNAcentral lists this ribosomal RNA (412 nucleotides) under uncultured bacterium. Its description in RNAcentral is "bacterial SSU rRNA". It matches the Rfam family "Bacterial small subunit ribosomal RNA", at positions 505 to 916 of the family's 1533-position model. The record is from RNAcentral.
GUGUCAGCCGCCGCGGUAAUACAGAGGGGGCAAGCGUUGUUCGGAAUUACUGGGCGUAAAGGGCGCGUAGGUGGCCUUCUAAGUUGAACGUGAAAUCCCUGGGCUCAACCCAGGAACUGCGUCCAAGACUGGGAGGCUUGAAUCCGGGAGAGGGAUGCGGAAUUCCAGGUGUAGCGGUGAAAUGCGUAGAGAUUUGGAGGAACACCAGUGGCGAAGGCGACUUUCUGGUCUGUAACUGACGCUGAGGCGCGAAAGCGUGGGGAGCAAACAGGAUUAGAUACCCUGGUAGUCCACGCCGUAAACGAUGAGUGCUAAGUGUCGGGGGUGACCAACCCUCGGUGCUGUCGUUAACACAAUAAGCACUCCGCCUGGGGAGUACGGCCGCAAGACUGAAACUCAAAGGAAUUGACGG